GCGGAAUGAUGAAGAAGCUUGCUUCUUCUGAUUUUAGCGGCGGACGGGUGAGUAACACGUGGGCAACCUACCUUGUAGAUUGGGAUAACUCCGGGAAACCGGGGCUAAUACCGAAUAAUCCAUUUUGCUUCAUGGCAAGAUGUUGAAAGGCGGCUUCGGCUGUCACUACGAGAUGGGCCCGCGGCGUAUUAGCUAGUUGGUAGGGUAAUGGCCUACCAAGGCGACGAUACGUAGCCGACCUGAGAGGGUGAUCGGCCACACUGGGACUGAGACACGGCCCAGACUCCUACGGGAGGCAGCAGUAGGGAAUCUUCCACAAUGGACGAAAGUCUGAUGGAGCAACGCCGCGUGAGUGAAGAAGGUUUUCGGAUCGUAAAACUCUGUUGUAAGGGAAGAACACGUACGAGAGUAACUGCUCGUACCUUGACGGUACCUUAUUAGAAAGCCACGGCUAACUACGUGCCAGCAGCCGCGGUAAUACGUAGGUGGCAAGCGUUGUCCGGAAUUAUUGGGCGUAAAGCGCGCGCAGGCGGUUCUUUAAGUCUGAUGUGAAAGCCCACGGCUCAACCGUGGAGGGUCAUUGGAAACUGGAGAACUUGAGUACAGAAGAGGAAAGCGGAAUUCCACGUGUAGCGGUGAAAUGCGUAGAGAUGUGGAGGAACACCAGUGGCGAAGGCGGCUUUCUGGUCUGUAACUGACGCUGAGGC
RNAcentral lists this ribosomal RNA (707 nucleotides) under Paenisporosarcina sp. G1_5. RNAcentral describes it as "bacterial SSU rRNA". It matches the Rfam family "Bacterial small subunit ribosomal RNA", at positions 66 to 752 of the family's 1533-position model. Lineage: Bacteria; Bacillati; Bacillota; Bacilli; Caryophanales; Caryophanaceae. The record is from RNAcentral.